ACGGAGGGUGCAAGCGUUAUUCGGAAUUACUGGGCGUAAAGCGCGUGUAGGCGGUCCUGCAAGUCUGAUGUGAAAGCCCCGGGCUUAACCCGGGAAGUGCAUUGGAAACUGUGGGACUUGAGUACUGGAGAGGAUGGGGGAAUUCCCGGUGUAGGGGUGAAAUUCGUUGAGAUUGGGAGGAAUAACCGUGGCGAAGGCGCCCAACUGGACCGUAACUGACGCUUAGACGCGAAAGCGUGGGGAGCAAACAG
RNAcentral lists this ribosomal RNA (251 nucleotides) under uncultured prokaryote. Its description in RNAcentral is "partial 16S rRNA". It matches the Rfam family "Bacterial small subunit ribosomal RNA", at positions 525 to 775 of the family's 1533-position model. The record is from RNAcentral.